Molecule: unclassified non-coding RNA, 312 nt
Filed under: uncultured fungus
Lineage: Eukaryota; Fungi
Description: sequence contains ITS1
Source: RNAcentral
GCCCAGCCGCGCCAUUUCUUGCGUAUCGGCUUAUGUCUGUUUUUUUAUAGCGCAAUCGCGCUGCUCUACAUUGCACUAUUUACCUCCAUCAAUGUGGAGUUAGCGCUGAAAAACCUGCUGCAAAAGCCAGUGUUUUACCACUUAUGGUUUUUCUUCGCGAUUGCGGUGAUUUAUCUGGUUUCACCGCUGAUUCAGGUGAAGAACGUCGGCGGAAAAAUGUUGCUGGUACUAAUGGUAGUGAUUGGUAUCAUCGCUAACCCAAACACCGUGCCGCAGAAAAUCGACGGUUUUGAAUGGCUGCCAAUUAACUUA